GGUGUUGUGGCUCAGUGGUAGAGUGAUCGCCUAGUCCGUGCAAAUCCCUGGUUCAAUCUCAGCACCACAUAA
This 72-nucleotide transfer RNA is filed under the name Marmota monax (woodchuck). RNAcentral describes it as "tRNA.Thr". The record is from RNAcentral. Lineage: Eukaryota; Metazoa; Chordata; Mammalia; Rodentia; Sciuridae.